RNA transcript from Poeciliopsis prolifica (blackstripe livebearer), 1149 nucleotides. RefSeq lists it as uncharacterized. The transcript is spliced from 8 exons. Lineage: Eukaryota; Metazoa; Chordata; Actinopteri; Cyprinodontiformes; Poeciliidae. The record is from RefSeq and is a predicted model, not a curated record.
CAAAAAUGACGGCCACCUUUUCUUCGGGUCCUCAGCACACGAGUUUGUUUACAUCCACGUAAUCAGGAAACUCAUUCUGGGUCAGAGAUGCGUCGACAGGAUUCUACAGAAUCACCUCUUUUUGGUGAGGAGGACAACUUCAGGCUAAAACAGUCCAACAUUAAACAUCCUGUAGCAUCGUUCUUCCACCUUUUCUUCCGCACAAGUGCCAUCUUGGUUUAUUUAGUGUGUGACGCUAUCAGUAGUCGUUUUAUUGUCUGCAUGGUCACCAUCAUCCUCCUGCUUUCAUGCGACUUCUGGACUGUAAAGAAUGUAUCUGGCAGGUUACUGGUUGGCCUUCGAUGGUGGAAUCAAGUGGAUGAAGACGGGAGAAGCCACUGGAUAUUUGAAUCAAGGAAGUCUGAUGGUGUCAACAAAAUAUCCGCUGCAGAGUCGCAGGUCUUCUGGCUUGGCCUUAUUGUGUGCCCCAUUUUUUGGGUCGUCUUUGUCUUCAGCACCAUCUUCUCAUUUAACAUCAAAUGGCUGGUUGUGGUGAUAAUGGGGCUGGUAUUGCAAUGGGCUAACUUGUACGGUUAUGUCAGAUGCAAACUGGGUGGAAAGUCCAGCCUGAGAAACAUGGCAAAGUCCUACCUCAGUGGACAGGUCUUCAAACAGGCUAUGAAGGAAACAACAAAAAGUUGAAACUGAAUUGGAGGCAUUCAGACACAAAGAGGUGGUGGGGCUCAAAACUCGAUGGAGUUAGUGUAUUUUCACUUGAGCAGCCUCCAUGAUUCUGACCAUCUUCUGCAGCAUUUUAGAGUCCUCAGAAAGACCUUGCUGAACGAUGCUGAUGACACCUUUGGUCUCUGCAGUGAUCAAAAUUACACAGCGUCAGUCACUCCCUAAAAAAAAAACUAUUCCCUAUCAGAACAUUUCUUCCACAACAAAGCCUCUCUCACCUGCAUCCACGUUUUCUUUGUUGUCUUCUGCAUUUUGAGGAGCAGGCCUUUUACCGAAGCAGGUGAAAAAAGCCAACCCGUUUUGAGACACCCUUGUCAACAAUAUGGAUACCAACAUGCUUAUCACCAUCAGGACUUGGCAAAUACAGAAAUGGAUUCCUGUGCAACAUAAAGAUGGUUGUAGUUAUUUUUGCUGCUGAUUUAUAUUUUC